AAACUCUGGAGAAUCUCUUAAAUGAGUGCCGACGGUGCAAGGCGACCUUCCCCAAGCGGAAAGGCCACGCUGAAUCUCUCAGGCAAAUGGACAGAGACGG
Molecule: non-coding RNA, 100 nt
Filed under: human gut metagenome
Description: Glycine riboswitch
Rfam family: Glycine riboswitch aptamer
About the family: This family represents the bacterial glycine riboswitch.
Source: RNAcentral